UUCUUAUUGGAGUAUGAAUGUCAUAUGUCAUGAUUGGAUAUCAAUUCUAUGAAAGAUGAAAUGCAUUAUUAUUUUCAUUGACCAAUCAGAACAUGACACGUGACAGUCAUCAUCC
Non-coding RNA from Glycine soja, 115 nucleotides. Lineage: Eukaryota; Viridiplantae; Streptophyta; Magnoliopsida; Fabales; Fabaceae. The record is from Rfam.